AUGCAACAUCUCCUCGCGGGCUGCUCCUUCUCCCGCCAGGUAUGGCAUGAGGUGCUAUCUUGGUGCCGCUCCACUGCCAUGACCCCGAGCCAUGACGACGAGUUCGGCGCCUGGUUGACCUCCGCUAUCGCCGUCACGCCGCGCUGUCUUUGAUGCGGGCUCGCUUCCAUCGCCAUCCUCACUGCUUGGUGGCUUUGGAAGCACCGCAAUGGCUGCACCUUUGACGGCGAUCGCCCCUCUGUGAGCCGCGCCGUCAAUGCCAUCCAGGAAGAGGCAAGACUCUGGGCACGCGCGGGUGCCACACACUUGGCACUGAUCUUACCGGAGACGUAG
This 333-nucleotide ribosomal RNA is filed under the name Triticum aestivum (bread wheat). RNAcentral's name for it is "partial small subunit ribosomal RNA". Lineage: Eukaryota; Viridiplantae; Streptophyta; Magnoliopsida; Poales; Poaceae. The record is from RNAcentral.